UGGGUACUGAGACACGGACCCAGGCCCUAUGGGGCGCAGCAGGCGAGAAAACUUUGCAAUGUGCGAAAGCACGACAAGGUUNAAUCGAGUGAUUUCUGCUAAAGAAAUCUUUUGCAAGUCAUAAAACCACUAGUGAAUAAGGGGUGGGCAAGUUCUGGUGUCAGCCGCCGCGGUAAAACCAGCACCUCAAGUGGUCAGGAUGAUUAUUGGGCCUAAAGCAUCCGUAGCCGGCUCUGUAAGUUUUCGGUUAAAUCUGUACGCUCAACGUACAGGCUGCCGGGAAUACUGCAAAGCUAGGGAGUGGGAGAAGUAGACGGUACUCGGUAGGAAGUGGUAAAAUGCUUUGAUCUAUCGAUGACCACCUGUGGCGAAGGCGGUCUACUAGAACACGUUCGACGGUGAGGGAUGAAAGCUGGGGGAGCAAACCGGAUUAGAUACCCGGGUAGUCCCAGCUGUAAACUAUGCAAACUCAGUGAUGCAUUGGCUUGCGGCCAAUGCAGUGCUGCAGGGAAGCCGUUAAGUUUGCCGCCUGGGAAGUACGUACGCAAGUAUGAAACUUAAAGGAAUUGGCGGGGGAGCACCACAAGGGGUGAAGCCUGCGGUUC
RNAcentral lists this ribosomal RNA (605 nucleotides) under uncultured crenarchaeote. RNAcentral's name for it is "bacterial SSU rRNA". It matches the Rfam family "Archaeal small subunit ribosomal RNA", at positions 297 to 903 of the family's 1478-position model. The record is from RNAcentral. Lineage: Archaea; Thermoproteati; Thermoproteota.